UUGAGAUCCAUGUAAAAGCAGAUCCAAUCUGCUGGAAGACAUGGAUUGUUUUCUAAAUGAUCCAUUGGCCCUCAAGUUCGAGAGAAGUUUACUUUGGAGGACAUGCGGUGUUUUUCUUGGAUUUCGAAUUUGUUCAAAGAUUACCAUGCUGGCUAAAAGAAAUAUAAGAUUAUUCUAUAGUCUAAUUUUCAUGAUUGCAAUUGUUUGAUCUUCCAAUGUUUCUCUUCAUAUUUUCCAGUUGAAGGAAUAUGCAUUUAUGGAUGGGCAUUGUUUUAUAAAGAUCCUUUCCACUGACUGAAGAAGAGUAUCUACUGAGGCUUGAUGAUGUUGCAAACACAUUGAAAUGUUGGGGAGCUGUCUCACAUAUUCGGAAUAGGCUUGCCAAAUUGAAGGAGCGGCCUCAGAUAGGAAAGAUAUUUUCUUCCAUUUAAAGUAAACUAGUCUGGUCCAUAUGGUGAAGAGUCAAAUUCAUUGAUACUUUGGACAAGGAUGGCGAAUGAUGAUCCAUAUGCACGACAUGUGGCAUACAUGUAUUGAUCGAAACUCAAAUUAUGGGGCCAUCUUUAGAUGGGGUAGGGCCUUAAAUUCAGAUUGUUUGGGAAAUUGUAAGUUUUAACCUCUUACUAAUGGAAAUUUAUUCUUUGAA
Molecule: long non-coding RNA, 646 nt
Organism: Magnolia sinica
Lineage: Eukaryota; Viridiplantae; Streptophyta; Magnoliopsida; Magnoliales; Magnoliaceae
Exons: 2
Source: RefSeq, a predicted model, not a curated record